RNAcentral lists this ribosomal RNA (493 nucleotides) under marine proteobacterium 'Bird Shoal sa4'. RNAcentral's name for it is "bacterial SSU rRNA". It matches the Rfam family "Bacterial small subunit ribosomal RNA", at positions 30 to 508 of the family's 1533-position model. The record is from RNAcentral. Lineage: Bacteria; Pseudomonadati; Pseudomonadota; Gammaproteobacteria; Vibrionales; Vibrionaceae.
AUUGAACGCUGGCGGCAGGCCUAACACAUGCAAGUCGAGCGGUAACAUUUCAAAAGCUUGCUUUUGGAGAUGACGAGCGGCGGACGGGUGAGUAAUGCCUGGGAAAUUGCCCUGAUGUGGGGGAUAACCAUUGGAAACGAUGGCUAAUACCGCAUAGUAGCUUCGGCUUAAAGAGGGGGACCUUCGGGCCUCUCGCGUCAGGAUAUGCCCAGGUGGGAUUAGCUAGUUGGUGAGGUAAUGGCUCACCAAGGCGACGAUCCCUAGCUGGUCUGAGAGGAUGAUCAGCCACACUGGAACUGAGACACGGUCCAAACUCCUACGGGAGGCAGCAGUGGGGAAUAUUGCACAAUGGGCGCAAGCCUGAUGCAGCCAUGCCGCGUGUGUGAAGAAGGCCUUCGGGUUGUAAAGCACUUUCAGUCGUGAGGAAGGUGUGUAUUUAAUAGAUGCGCACUUUGACGUUAGCGACAGAAGAAGCACCGGCUUAACUCCGUGC